UACGGGGGGAGCAAGCGUUGUUCGGAUUUACUGGGCGUAAAGGGCGCGUAGGCGGUCGUGACAAGUCACUUGUGAAAUCUCCGGGCUUAACUCGGAACGGUCAAGUGAUACUGUCGGACUAGAGUACAGAAGGGGCAACUGGAAUUCUCGGUGUAGCGGUGAAAUGCGUAGAUAUCGAGAGGAACACCUGCGGCGAAGGCGGCUCUCUGGGACGGUACUGACGCUGAGACGCGAAAGCGUGGGGAGCGAACAGG
Molecule: ribosomal RNA, 254 nt
Filed under: uncultured bacterium
Lineage: Bacteria
Description: partial 16S ribosomal RNA
Rfam family: Bacterial small subunit ribosomal RNA
Source: RNAcentral